AGAAAACAAAUCCAUCUCCUCCUCAAUGAAGUGGACCUCGGAGCCUUCACAAACUGUUCUUCGAACCUUGUUGUUGAUGAUGAUGAAGAAAUCCAUCUCCUCCUCAAUGAAGUUGACCUCGGAGCCUUCACAAACUGUUCUUCGAACCUUGUUGUUGAUGAUGAUGACAAUGGACCUUCACAAACUGUUGAAAGGUCCUUGACUGAUGAUGAGACAUUGAUGUUGAUGAAGGCCCUUCACAAACUGUUCUUCGGACCUUCACGGAUUGAUGAUGAUGCCAGCUUUGAUGGGAAGCUGAUGAUGAUGGUUAACUCCAACGAGUUGUUGAUGACGAAGACCAGCUCCGACGUGAAGCUGAGGACGUCUUGCUGCUGUCACUGCUGGAACCGAACUGGAGGACGACAGGAGGAUUGA
This 414-nucleotide long non-coding RNA is filed under the name Oryza sativa aus subgroup. RNAcentral describes it as "lncRNA OsN22_08G007420". Lineage: Eukaryota; Viridiplantae; Streptophyta; Magnoliopsida; Poales; Poaceae. The record is from RNAcentral.